Triticum urartu is the source of this 1713-nucleotide non-coding RNA. The record is from RefSeq and is a predicted model, not a curated record. Lineage: Eukaryota; Viridiplantae; Streptophyta; Magnoliopsida; Poales; Poaceae.
CCUACGAAGAAAGACCUACGCCACGACCGCCGCCCGCGGGUCGCCCGCUCCCUCGCGCCCCUGUUGCUCCCUCCUCGAUCCCGAUCUGGAUCGAGGGGACGAGGAGCUCCUGCCUCCCCGACGGCCGGCCUCCUCCUCGCCCCGCUGCUGCGUCCGGCGCCGCCACGGCCUCUGGAGCCAGGGAAGCCAUGGCCUGAGCUCGGCCUCGAGGUCCCCGCCGCCGUCUCCUGCAGCUUCUGCCCCGCCGCCUCACCGCCCAAGCUCGCCGUCGCACCAACCUCGGCGCCGCGCCGCCGCCGGCUCUGGUCGCCUCCACCUCCGCUCCAGUGCUUAAGGAUGGAGGAGAACGGCCUGAAGUUCGUGCUCGAUCUGGUGGUCAGGUUCCCACUUCGGCAAGAGUUCGCCGAUGACCUUAAGCACUCCGAUCCGAUGCCGCUAAGGCUGCCACCCAGGGGGAGGCUGGCGCUCUUGGCACGGAGGAUUCAAUUGGUGAAUCUGGCUGCACCCUGAGGUUAAUCGGGAGGCACCUGGAUGGACGAAAAGGGAAAGCCUAAGGCCGAGAAUAGCCGAUCAUGCAUGUAUGAGUGUCCCGUGCUGAUCAGAUUGCUACAUGCAGCUAAUAAAUAGUUGGUUCAUAACUGAGCACAUAAAGAAUCACAACCAUUUGAUGUUCGUUACACUCAGGGAGAAGGUUCAUUGGCACAUAGACUUCUGUGUUAACAGGGCGACAACGUCAAGGAUGGCAUCUGCGAGAACUCUUUUGUGUUAGAUAAAUUGAUGAUUAUGUCUAGAUCUCCGGGGGCAGACACUAUCAUACUGAAGCUCAGCCGGACCACGACUGUCAACAGGGUCACCGUAUUCUUUGAGGAACACAAACAAUCCAGGAUCCAAAUGAGCUUGGUUACGUACUAAAUUAUUGUUGAGGAUCUCAGGUAAUCGUUGCAGUAGAAGAUUACGCCCCUGAUCAUCAUUCUCAUUUUCAAACUUGCCAUUUAUCAGAGGAUUUGGAUGGGGUGCAUUCAUGCAUUAUAUUGGAGCAAGGACCUGCCGAGGAGGGGGAUACCAUGGGGAGGCGAACCUGGUAAAAUAAGGGUGGAAAGUAUACUAUAGGAAAGACUGUGGGGUUUGUGUAUCCUUAUCCAGGACAUUGUGAAGGCUUCUGAUGCAGUUUACAAGAAGCAAUUGGUGAGCUAAUUCAGAGAUAAGUGAAAUGAUAAUAAGAAGGUUAAAUAAUGUUGUUCAAUCUUUCCGUCAAGCAACCUGUUUGGCCCCAAAUGUCCGCACCGACGCGGUGACGCCCGUGGGCGCCACCGUUCCUUCCUGAAGGGCAUCGGGUGUUGCUUGGCAUGCGGAGGUUCAAGGUGCUAGGAGCGAGGUGGUAAAUCUCCGGUGGGCGCAGCGGUUGCGGGUCAUCAUCAUUUUCGUCGAUCCGACGCUGUCGACAUUAUUUUCUCUCUUCUUUCUCUUUUUUUUUCUUUUGGGCGUGCUUGUGCUGUUUGCCCCAGCAUUGGACUCUUGGUUGUAUUGGGUUGUUGCUAUAUCUAUAUAGCGGGGCGAAAGCCUAUUUCGUAAGAUUCUUCCAUGAAUUCAAGACUUGGCAAACCACUCCCAUUACAAGGUUCCAUAACACAUGCUGGAUUUGUAUGUCAAGAUAUCUGAAGGGCAAAAACUUAGUACAUUUAUUCUGUUUUUUUAAUAAAUCUCCCUCUUGAA